CGUGGUACUAGUUAGCUUUAUCUUAGUAAAACAGUUACCAUUCACUGCCACCAAAAAUGCCACACAAGGAGCAUAAAAAGUACAGGGUUCAGCGUGAGGACCUGCCAGCAAUGCCUCACUUCAGCGAUUUCAACGACCCGCGCUUCUGUGGGACAACCAACAAGCAGAAGAACGGCAUUCUGGCCUACUACCAGUGGCUGCAUUGCAUCGGCAACUGGGGUGAGGAACACUCCAUGUGCAAGAAGAUGCGUUGGUAUGUCGAGCGCAUGAUGCACGAGACGUGGCUGGAGAAGUGGGAGGAGAAGCGUGCUCUCGGCCACUUUGACCACACCGUUCUCUACGGUGUGAAGCCGUGGAAGGAGUUCGAGCCGCUGUACCAGCCGGUGAAGAAAAACCGCAAAGGUGCGUAUGAAUACUGGCUAGACCGCGACUUUGAGCCUCUGUACGAUGUCGAUGCGUCGGACUGGCGCGAGAAGGCGCCGAUCCUUCACGACAUGUUCGUGCUGGGCAAGAAACCCGUGUCCGAGUAAGCACUGACCAUGGAGCUUUUAGGGCGCAUAGUGUGUUUCUGUUUUCAACUACAAGAAGUCAAGUGCGAAUUGAUCUGUCUCUUAGCUUUUUUUCUUUCCGCGGACUGAAAUUUUAUCAAAAUCAGCGUAGGAGGUUUUUCAUUAAAGCAUCGAGAAGGAGUGGCUUUCCUUUUUCUCAAUGAUUAGUCGAAGUGAUUUCUUUGAUGUUUUGCCGUUUUCUUGGUGUUCUAGUCAAGCAUGAAAAAAAAAGGAUUUUGAUCCAAAGCGCUUAUCGCAUAUCAAGGGGGAGAGAGCCACAACCCUCGUGAGUGAGCGAAACUGUUUCUGCUCGAAGUUAGUACAGCACCUAAAUCUGCACGAGAAGCAUCUCAAUCCUCUCGGUAGCGGCGGAAAUAAAACUUUUUUUUUGAUUCGGGUUUACUACUCAUGGGAAUGAACAACACGUGGCAAGUGCGUGUUUCUGUCUCUAAAUAUAUUUGCUUUCCGCUUGCUUUGGCUUUCUCUCUUGUGCUUUCGCACUCUGAUUUGCCGUAAAACAACAAUCAUGACGCCAUCCAAACACAACACGGCGCUCAAAAAUCGCUUUCUGUUUUAUCUAG
Molecule: unclassified non-coding RNA, 1129 nt
Filed under: Leishmania donovani
Lineage: Eukaryota; Euglenozoa; Kinetoplastea; Trypanosomatida; Trypanosomatidae
Description: gene:LdHU3.21.2470(CDS-product:cytochrome_c_oxida se_subunit_VI_putative)
Source: RNAcentral